RNAcentral lists this transfer RNA (60 nucleotides) under Anatkina vespertinula. RNAcentral describes it as "tRNA-Glu". Lineage: Eukaryota; Metazoa; Arthropoda; Insecta; Hemiptera; Cicadellidae. The record is from RNAcentral.
AUUCAUAUAGUUUAUAAAACAUUUUAUUUUCGUUAAAAAAAAGGAUUAUUCCUAUGAAUU